AUUUAAAUGGCAGAUUAGUGCUUUAGAUUUAAAUUCUAACUAUAAAAAUAUUUUUUUUUAAAUA
Molecule: transfer RNA, 64 nt
Filed under: Galathealinum brachiosum
Lineage: Eukaryota; Metazoa; Annelida; Polychaeta; Sabellida; Siboglinidae
Description: tRNA-Leu
Source: RNAcentral